CAGCCGCCACGGGAAUACGAAGGGGGCUAGCGUUGCUCGGAAUGACUGGGCGUAAAGGGCGCGUAGGCGGCGAUCAAAGUCAGGCGUGAAAUUCCUGGGCUCAACCUGGGGGCUGCGCUUGAUACUUGGUUGCUUGAGUGGGGAAGAGGGUAGUGGAAUUCCCAGUGUAGAGGUGAAAUUCGUAGAUAUUGGGAAGAACACCAGUGGCGAAGGCGGCUCACUGGACCGACACUGACGCUGAGGCGCGAAAGCGUGGGGAGCAAACAGGAUUAGAUACCCCAGUAGUCCCUGUCUCUUAUAC
This 301-nucleotide ribosomal RNA is filed under the name uncultured bacterium. RNAcentral's name for it is "partial 16S ribosomal RNA". It matches the Rfam family "Bacterial small subunit ribosomal RNA", at positions 509 to 807 of the family's 1533-position model. The record is from RNAcentral.